GCUUCAGUGGAUGAGCUAUAUGCUUCGAAUUAACCAGCAAGUUAGCUGCUCCAUGCUCCCCAACCCGUAAGUUAGCUGCUCCAUGCUCCUCUUUUACUUUUCUCACUGCAUGCUAAUUUGUUUAAUUCUAUCCUAUAUGCAUAUAUUCCUCCUCUCCUUACCACCAAAUCUAUGCAUUAAUAAUUUUAGUUAAUGCGUUUCAUUAUUUUAGCUUCUUUCUGCUUUAAUUUGGAUAAUUUCUUUAACAUCUCCACUUUUCUUCUUUUUUCUAAACCAAUUUUAAAAUAAAUUCAUUAGAAAAUUGAAAAAAGCCUUGUCAAGUUUUUUUUUUUUUUUUUUU
Molecule: unclassified non-coding RNA, 340 nt
Filed under: Hevea brasiliensis (rubber tree)
Lineage: Eukaryota; Viridiplantae; Streptophyta; Magnoliopsida; Malpighiales; Euphorbiaceae
Source: RNAcentral